AUUAAGCUUAUUUUUUAGUUUCUACAUGAAAUAUUUUGACUCUUCGUCUUAUUUGAAAUUUUCUUACGAUUAAUAUUUUUAUUGUUAAUGGAUGGUAAAACAUGAGUAGUACUUUAUGCGUGACUAAUUUUUUUAAGUUUUUAUAUAAUUUUUUAAAUAAGACAAAUGGUCAAAGCGUUGCACACAGAAAUC
RNAcentral lists this microRNA precursor (192 nucleotides) under Oryza brachyantha (malo sina). RNAcentral describes it as "MIR812 microRNA precursor family". It matches the Rfam family "MIR812 microRNA precursor family". Lineage: Eukaryota; Viridiplantae; Streptophyta; Magnoliopsida; Poales; Poaceae. The record is from Rfam by way of RNAcentral.